GACGAACGCUGGCGGCGUGCUUAACACAUGCAAGUCGAACGGAAAGGCCUCUUUCGGGGGGUACUCGAGUGGCGAACGGGUGAGUAACACGUGAGUAACCUGCCCUUGACUUUGGGAUAACUUCAGGAAACUGGGGCUAAUACCGGAUAGGAGCUCCUGCUGCAUGGUGGGGGUUGGAAAGUUUCGGCGGUUGGGGAUGGACUCGCGGCUUAUCAGCUUGUUGGUGGGGUAGUGGCUUACCAAGGCUUUGACGGGUAGCCGGCCUGAGAGGGUGACCGGCCACAUUGGGACUGAGAUACGGCCCAGACUCCUACGGGAGGCAGCAGGGGGGAAUAUUGCACAAUGGGUGGAAGCCUGAUGCAGCAACGCCGUGGGCGGGAGGACGGCCUUCGGGUUGGAAACCGCUUUCGCUCAUGACGAAGCUUUGUGUGACGGUAGUGGGUAAAGAAGCACCGGCUAACUACGUG
RNAcentral lists this ribosomal RNA (467 nucleotides) under uncultured bacterium. Its description in RNAcentral is "partial 16S ribosomal RNA". It matches the Rfam family "Bacterial small subunit ribosomal RNA", at positions 28 to 507 of the family's 1533-position model. The record is from RNAcentral.